AUCUACAUUUGCAUCUUGGUCAAC
Molecule: non-coding RNA, 24 nt
Filed under: Arabidopsis thaliana (thale cress)
Lineage: Eukaryota; Viridiplantae; Streptophyta; Magnoliopsida; Brassicales; Brassicaceae
Source: RNAcentral